This 683-nucleotide long non-coding RNA is filed under the name Sorghum bicolor (sorghum). RNAcentral describes it as "long non-coding RNA (SBIC_LNC015089)". The record is from RNAcentral. Lineage: Eukaryota; Viridiplantae; Streptophyta; Magnoliopsida; Poales; Poaceae.
GCUUCUACUCCACAUAUAUGGAUGGUUGUCAUCCAAUUAGGAUAGUGCACUAGGAUCCUUCUCCUCUAUGUUUUGCAUGAAGUACUUGAACUUCUCAUGUGUGAAACACUUGGCAACUGCCCACAUAUUCUUACCAUAAAGCUCAUCACUAUACCCAUUCUUCUUCAUGUUCCUCCAUUAAGUGCCUCAUGCAUUCUCUAUGUUUCACUCCUGGAUACACAUCAUCUACAACCUUCUCAAUUCCUUUGCCCGCAUUUGUACUAAUGACCAAGUUCAACAUUGUUUGUCUCAUUGGUGGGCACUCUAUUCCUCAUAGAAGGGUGGCACCUACUUUUUGUUGGUAAAAACUACAAAGGACCCUUGAAAUCACUAAUUUAGGCAUUAAUGUACACCUUUCCCUUGUCUUUAUUGAGUUCAAACCACUCAAGCAACUGCUCAACAGUUUUAAUCUCAGUAGAAGUUCCACUAAAAAUUCCUCCAAUUCAUGCCACAAAGUUAUGUAUUGUUUUGAACUCCGUGUUCAGCUAUUAAAUUGAUUAGUUGCAGCAGGUUGAAGCUAUGCAUGUCAACAACUUGAGUAGGCAAGGCUCGACCCUGUUGCCAUCAUUUUGGUGCCCCAUCAGGCAAACUGAAAAAUGACAGAACCCUAACAAAUAGAUUAAAAUUCAUGUGUUUUGCCUACA